This 392-nucleotide ribosomal RNA is filed under the name uncultured bacterium. RNAcentral's name for it is "partial 16S ribosomal RNA". It matches the Rfam family "Bacterial small subunit ribosomal RNA", at positions 523 to 918 of the family's 1533-position model. The record is from RNAcentral.
AUACGGAGGAUCCGAGCGUUAUCCGGAUUUAUUGGGUUUAAAGGGUGCGCAGGCGGCCAUUUAAGUCAGCGGUUAAAUCGUGGGGCUCAACCCCAUUCUGCCGUUGAUACUGGGUGGCUUGAUUGCGGUCGAGGUUGGCGGAAUUCGUUGUGCAGCGGUGAAAUGCAUAGAUAUGACGAAGAACACCGAUUGCGUAGGCAGCUGACCAGACCGCAAAUGACGCUCAUGCACGAAAGUGCGGGGAUCGAACAGGAUUAGAUACCCUGGUAGUCCGCACAGUAAACGAUGAAUACUUGUUUUCGGCGAUAUAAUGUCGGAGGCAAAGCGAAAGCGAUAAGUAUUCCACCUGGGGAGUACGCCGGCAACGGUGAAACUCAAAGGAAUUGACGGGG